RNAcentral lists this ribosomal RNA (465 nucleotides) under Vreelandella stevensii. RNAcentral's name for it is "partial 16S ribosomal RNA". It matches the Rfam family "Bacterial small subunit ribosomal RNA", at positions 338 to 795 of the family's 1533-position model. Lineage: Bacteria; Pseudomonadati; Pseudomonadota; Gammaproteobacteria; Oceanospirillales; Halomonadaceae. The record is from RNAcentral.
CCUACGGGUGGCAGCAGUGGGGAAUAUUGGACAAUGGGCGAAAGCCUGAUCCAGCCAUGCCGCGUGUGUGAAGAAGGCCUUCGGGUUGUAAAGCACUUUCAGUGGGGAAGAAAGCCUUGGGGCUAAUACCCUCGAGGAAGGACAUCACCCACAGAAGAAGCACCGGCUAACUCCGUGCCAGCAGCCGCGGUAAUACGGAGGGUGCGAGCGUUAAUCGGAAUUACUGGGCGUAAAGCGCGCGUAGGCGGUCUGAUAAGCCGGUUGUGAAAGCCCCGGGCUCAACCUGGGAACGGCAUCCGGAACUGUCAGGCUAGAGUGCAGUAGAGGAAGGUAGAAUUCCCGGUGUAGCGGUGAAAUGCGUAGAGAUCGGGAGGAAUACCAGUGGCGAAGGCGGCCUUCUGGACUGACACUGACGCUGAGGUGCGAAAGCGUGGGUAGCAAACAGGAUUAGAUACCCGUGUAGUC